Long non-coding RNA from Hyaena hyaena (striped hyena), 940 nucleotides. RefSeq lists it as uncharacterized. The transcript is spliced from 3 exons. The record is from RefSeq and is a predicted model, not a curated record. NCBI's taxonomy places the organism in Eukaryota, Metazoa, Chordata, Mammalia, Carnivora, Hyaenidae.
ACCAGACCCUGGGUAAUUGAAACCAUAGAAAAUAAAACCACAGAGCAGGGGAACUACUGUAACUAAGAAUGGAAUGGGUUGAUAUAUUGGUAGUUCGUAAAGCUAUAGUGUAGAGUCAUGGAAUAAUGUUAAACAAAAUGAAAGUGAAAGACAGAUAGGACUAGAUGAGGACCUGUCUACCAGCUUUGUGCCAGGUAGAUGGCUUUCUAUGGCAACUUGAGACAAGAGGAAGGUUUAGGACAGAGGUCUCAUGUAGCAAGUUUAUAUUUUUAAAGACCACUCUGGAUUCUGUAUGUAAAAUGGAUUGGCAGAAAAAAAAUAGGUCACACAAAUAUUUGGGGCAGAAACCAUACUUAGUGGAUUGAAGAGUGAAUGGACUUUGAUGAAGUAAAAACAAAGAAAGAAGGUAACUUGAUUAAACUCUGAUGACUCCAAUAUGUGAUUAAUCCUAAUUAAAAAGCUGAGUGGCACUGGGAGUUUGAACUAUAGAUUUGCAUGAGAUGUGGUGUGCAAACCACCCUUCAGGACUCAGAGACCUAUUACCCACCGGCUGGGAGUACUGCUGGCAGAUAGCAUCAGUUGUUAACCUUCUUUGCAAUUAUCUUGGCUGACAAGAGCCAUGACACCUAAAGUCAUCUCCUUCCCAAGAAAGCUUGCCUCUGAUGAAUGGUCAACACUGGGUAUAGAGACCUCAUCACAAUCCAGGACAAAACUAAAGGACCAUCCUAGAGUCAAAGCUUCCUAUAAGGUUGUGAUUCCUCCUUGCUAAUCUCUAUCUCCAAGUUUCCUUGCAGAAGAUUCCAAUCUAUGCCAGGUGGUUCUGGGAAUGAUUCAAGAGAGUACAGACUUAGCAUUUUGAAGCUGAAUCAUCUGUCAACCAAAUAAUGAAAAUUCCAUUACUGAUUGUAAGUGGAAUACAAAUGGUCUUUAACACAAGUCA